AUCUGGCUUUCUUGAGGAAAAUGAAAAUCAAAGGGAACAGGUAUCUACCACCUGCAAUAACAUCGCGCAUUAGCACGCACUAUACUAAAUUAGCAAAAAACAUUUUCAAAAUCGAUAAAUAACCAAAUUAUCACAAGUACAUUUUUAUUUUUAAAAAUAACUUUGUAUUACACACUUUACACUCCAGAAAGGUGAUUCUAAAAAUGACAUCACAAUCGAACAUAACGUUUUUUUAUAAUUAAAUUUUAUAUUGAAAUUUAUAUUAAUAACGGAAAUAUCGCAGUUACUGAAUACAUGAAAACGGUGUAAAAGAAGAUAUAAUGUUGAUAAAGUCCAGGAAAAGUAAAGAAGAGGAAGAGAAGUGAGCAUUUCAUGUGAGAUUUGCCUAGUGGACUCGUUUUCAAACAUUUUAACAAGCCUGUACCUUAGACACGAGGACAUUUAAAAUAGGAACUAUUAUACGAGAAACUACAGAUUCGCCGAGCGCUUGUAAGGAAGCCAAAAUUGUAGAUUGUUGUACGUCGCUAGCGGCGACGAGCUAUAGUAAGAACAAAUCGCCACAAAAACAAUACUGCUAGCACCAUCUGAUGAGCAAGUGAGAGAUUAUCGAACCAAUUGUACUUUUUCGGAAAAUAGUUAUUUUUUCGUUUUGUUAACACCUGUACUAUAAGUGACUACGUUUCCAUCGAGAGUCCAAAUCGGGUCAGAGUCGGGUUAGAGUCGGGUUGGGGUCAGCGCUUGUACGGUGGAAACGCCAAAGGUUUAGUUGAACUCUACCCUACAAAAUUUUAGGGUAGCGUUCA
This is a long non-coding RNA of Megachile rotundata (alfalfa leafcutting bee), 803 nucleotides long. The record is from RefSeq and is a predicted model, not a curated record. Lineage: Eukaryota; Metazoa; Arthropoda; Insecta; Hymenoptera; Megachilidae.